GGUGGCCGGCGCGCGAGGGAGCACUUUCCCCUCAGUGCUUCCUCUUCCGCUCCCUCGCGCGAGGGGGACGGAAGAGGAAGCACUGAGGGGAAAGUGCUCCCUCGCGCGCCGGCCGCC
Molecule: non-coding RNA, 117 nt
Organism: Pelobates cultripes (western spadefoot toad)
Lineage: Eukaryota; Metazoa; Chordata; Amphibia; Anura; Pelobatidae
Source: the annotation of a GenBank genome assembly